Molecule: ribosomal RNA, 253 nt
Filed under: uncultured bacterium
Lineage: Bacteria
Description: partial 16S ribosomal RNA
Rfam family: Bacterial small subunit ribosomal RNA
Source: RNAcentral
UACGGGGGGCGCAAGCGUUAUUCGGAAUUAUUGGGCGUAAAGGGCGCGUAGGCGGUUGAAUAAGUCAGAUGUGAAAGCCCUUGGCUUAACCAAGGAAGUGCAUUUGAUACUAUUUGACUUGAGUAUGGGAGAGGGAAGUGGAAUUCCUGGUGUAGAGGUGAAAUUCGUAGAUAUCAGGAGGAACACCGGUGGCGAAAGCGACUUCCGGGACCAAUACUGACGAUGAGGCGCGAAGGCGUGGGGAGCAAACAGG